AUUGCAACAAAGUAAUAAAAUAUGAGAAGGUUCUAUGAAAGUUUCCAAAAAAAACUAUUUUACGGAACUUCCGACUUUAAGAUUC
This is a non-coding RNA of Caenorhabditis elegans, 85 nucleotides long. Lineage: Eukaryota; Metazoa; Nematoda; Chromadorea; Rhabditida; Rhabditidae. The record is from Ensembl.